RNAcentral lists this ribosomal RNA (503 nucleotides) under uncultured bacterium. Its description in RNAcentral is "partial 16S ribosomal RNA". It matches the Rfam family "Bacterial small subunit ribosomal RNA", at positions 28 to 508 of the family's 1533-position model. The record is from RNAcentral.
GACGAACGCUGGCGGCGUGCCUAAUACAUGCAAGUCGAACGAACCGCGACUAGGUGCUUGCACUUGGUCAAGGUGAGUGGCGAACGGGUGAGUAACACGUGGGUAACCUACCUCAUAGUGGGGGAUAACAGUCGGAAACGACUGCUAAUACCGCAUAGGACAUAGGAUCACAUGAUCCAGUGAGGAAAGGUGGCGCAAGCUAUCGCUAAGAGAUGGACCCGCGGUGCAUUAGCUAGUUGGUAGGGUAAAGGCCUACCAAGGCGAUGAUGCAUAGCCGACCUGAGAGGGUGAUCGGCCACAUUGGGACUGAGACACGGCCCAAACUCCUACGGGAGGCAGCAGUAGGGAAUCUUCCGCAAUGGACGCAAGUCUGACGGAGCAACGCCGCGUGAGUGAAGAAGGUCUUCGGAUCGUAAAGCUCUGUUGUUAGAGAAGAACAGCGCAUAGAGUAACUGUUAUGCGUGUGACGGUAUCUAACCAGAAAGCCACGGCUAACUACGUGC